Molecule: ribosomal RNA, 497 nt
Filed under: uncultured bacterium
Lineage: Bacteria
Description: partial 16S ribosomal RNA
Rfam family: Bacterial small subunit ribosomal RNA
Source: RNAcentral
GACGAACGCUGGCGGCGUGCCUAAUACAUGCAAGUCGAGCGAACAGACGAGGAGCUUGCUCCUCUGACGAUAGCGGCGGACGGGUGAGUAACACGUGGAUAACCUACCUAUAAGACUGGGAUAACUUCGGGAAACCGGAGCUAAUACCGGAUAAUAUAUUGAUCCGUAUGGUUCAAUAGUGAAAGACGGUUUUGCUGUCACUUAUAGAUGGAUCCGCGCCGCAUUAGCUAGUUGGUAAGGUAACGGCUUACCAAGGCAACGAUUCGUAGCCGACCUGAGAGGGUGAUCGCCCACACGGGAACUGGGACACGGUCCAGACUCCUACGGGAGGCAGCAGUAGGGAAUCUUCCGCAAUGGGCGAAAGCCUGACGGAGCAACGCCGCGUGAGUGAUGAAGGUCUUCGGAUCGUAAAACUCUGUUAUUAGGGAAGAACAAAUGUGUAAGUAACUAUGCACGUCGUGACGGUACCUGAUCAGAAAGCCACGGCUAACUACGUG